UACGUAGGGGGCAAGCGUUGUCCGGAUUUAUUGGGCGUAAAGAGCGUGUAGGCGGUUCGGUAGGUCCGUUGUGAAAACUCGAGGCUCAACCUCGAGACGCCGAUGGAAACCCCCGAACUAGAGUCCGGAAGAGGAGAAUGGAAUUCCUGGUGUAGCGGUGAAAUGCGCAGAUAUCAGGAAGAACACCCGUGGCUAAGGCGGUUCUCUAGUACGGUACUGACGCUGAGACGCGAAGGCGUGGGGAGCGAACAGG
RNAcentral lists this ribosomal RNA (253 nucleotides) under uncultured bacterium. RNAcentral describes it as "partial 16S ribosomal RNA". It matches the Rfam family "Bacterial small subunit ribosomal RNA", at positions 524 to 776 of the family's 1533-position model. The record is from RNAcentral.